This 240-nucleotide unclassified non-coding RNA is filed under the name soil metagenome. RNAcentral describes it as "partial contains 5.8S ribosomal RNA, internal transcribed spacer 2, and large subunit ribosomal RNA". The record is from RNAcentral.
AACCAUAGAAACCUGCGGAGUACCUGCGGAGGGAUCAUUACAGAGUUGCAAAACUCCCUAAACCAUUGUGAACGUUACCUAAACCGUUGCUUCGGCGGGCGGCCCGGGUCCUUCCCGGCGCCCAUCGGCCCCCGCGGGCGCCCGCCGGAGGUAAACCAAACUAUUGCAUUGUAUGGCCUCUCUGAGUCUUCUGUACUGAAUAAGUCAAAACUUUCAACAACGGAUCUCAGAUCGGAAGAG